RNAcentral lists this long non-coding RNA (11025 nucleotides) under Gallus gallus (chicken). The record is from RNAcentral. Lineage: Eukaryota; Metazoa; Chordata; Aves; Galliformes; Phasianidae.
CAGCAACAAAGCUCUGCUCUAGCUGUCUUCACAAGUACACAAGAUCCAUCCAAAAACAGGCUGCUGCAUUGUUACCAGGUACACAUAUGCUCCAGACCUGUCGAAGUACAUCCAGGGGAAUGCCACAGAAAUGAUUCAAAGGAUGGAACACCUCCCUUAUGAGGACAUGCUAAGAGAGCUGGGGCUGUUCAGCCUGGAAAAGUCUCUGGAGCAAUGUGAGAACAGCCUUUCAGUAAAGAGAGGCUGUAAGAAGGGGAGAGACUCUUUUGCAGGGUCUGCUAUGACAGGACAAGGGGAAAUGGUUUCAAACUGAAAGAGGGGAGAUUAAGGCAGGAUAUAAGACUAAAUAUAAGUUUUAUAGAAUAGCUAGAAGUUUGCUGUAGUAAGGACAGUGAAGCACUGAAACAGCUUGCCCAGAGAGGUGGUGGAUGCCCUGUUCCUGGAGACAUUCAAGAGCAGGCUGCUCCUGCAGAUGCAUUUGGAGAGCAGAAUAGGUUUCCAGCUAUAGAAUGCAAUCGGGAACAGUCAGCAAUAUGGCAGUUCUGAGCUUACAAAGUGCCUUACCAGCAAGGCUUUUCACUACUCUGAGCCACUCCAGCAGAAAAUAAGGUAGUUUUUCCACCUCAUCUGUGCUCUCCUCAUUUCCUUUGGGAAGUCAGGUUUCCAUAGGAAACCAUGCUGUUGGAAGCUGAUUCUUCCAGAGGUCUAACACUAGCCUCUGUAAGUCAGGAAGGCAGCUUAGCAGGCCCACUGGGAAGUAGCAGAUGGAUAGGAAAAUGACAUGCUUUCCAAAAGUAUUUAAAUAUCAACUCUCUUUUGUUACAGCUGUGUAAGAGCCAUAUAAAAUCAAGUAACAUGUAGGAGAGAAAAGGGGUCAUGAAGGAGGAGUUUGAGCAAAAAGUAAUGCUAAAAAAGAAAAAAAAAUCCAUUGCAAAUGGUAAUGUAAAUAAGGACACAAUUGCAACAGAAUUUUCCUUGAAUCAACGGAGGACUAUUACUUGAUGAGAUCAUUGUUUUCAGGAAGUGUUAUAGAAAUGCGAUUACCAGACACUGAGGUUUUUUAACGUAUAAAAUAGGAAAGAGAGAGGACAAGCUGUGGUGAAGAAAAUGCAAGCAUUGUACAACUCAACAGACCUCCUGUCCCAGAGAGAUUUAUUUACUGGAAAUUACGACAAUGAUUUAUGGGCAGCUGGAAUUUGCAUGCAUUGCUCCGAAUCUGUGGAAGAAUCUAUGUGGUUGUUCAUGGCCUUCAGAAACAUGGAUGCUGCAAAGCAGAGCUAUGGAGAAUAUGGAAAGCAGGCUCAAAAAGCAUCUGCAAAUCUGUGCCAAUAUUAUUGCCUCUGUCAUCAAGCAAUGGAAAGGUUUUUCUAGUUAAAUUCAAGUAAUUAAAUCUCCCUGCUCUCAUUAAAAAAAAUACAACUGUCUGCUGCUGGUCUGAAGAAUUGCACAGAGUGAACGUAAAUUUUAAUUUCAUGGUGCAAGUGUUAAAUUAUUGCCAUCUAAGCUGUCUGCCAGUGUUACAUGAAAUCCCACCACAUUUUAAUAAUUCUCCCUUUGUUUUGGAUGGAAAUACCACGUGUUGUGAUUUGGAAGUUUUUAUGUGCAAUUAGAGCCCUGAGAACUACAACAUAAUCACAUUCAAUUCACCUAAUUGGACAGCGAGGAAACUGUCAUUUCUGAAAUGGUUUGUGUCUUUUGGAAUGUCUGUGUGUAUACACAUGCGUAUAAAAUGAAACAUUUUCUCACCCAUCCUGUGUUAAAAUGUAAUAGAAACUCCUGCUAACUGAAGUUGAAGAUAUAGCUGGGUGUUCUUUAGUAACCUCAAAACAUAUACGUGUGCGUGUAAAUAAAAAACUGUCCUUCUAAACACAAGGAUCCUUCCCUCCUACUUACUUUGCAACAUCUUAGUAAGGAUUUGCCAUCAAUUCCCUCUCUUUACAGUGCAUUUGAUGACAUUUUACAGAUCAUCAUACUAAAUAAGUAAGAACCAUCCUCUGAUUUAGAAGAAAAACCUUUAUUUAUUUCAAUUUAUUUUGGGAGUUCAGAAGUAAUGACAAACUUGACAAUCUUCAUGACAAACAUGACAAUCUUCACAUCACUUUAAGCUGUGUGACCAAAAAGCCAUUAGCUUCACAGAAACAGACAAUACAUUUCAUCCUGAAACAACACUUAUGAUCAACAUUUAUGCAAUCUAUAGGUACUUCCUAUAUUUGUAUCAAUGCAAGUAAGAAGACAUGGAGUAUCAAACCAGCAAGGGCUUAGAAAUAUCAAGCCCAAGAGUUUACCCAUUUACUUCAGUGGAAAAUAGUGCUAGUAAAUAUCAAUACAUAUUUUAAUCUUUUAUUUCAGUAAUUUCCAUGUAAAAGCAAACAUAUUCUGCCAACUUUAUUCAUUGUCUUUGAUCUUUUUUUGAAGCAUAUUAUGAUAGAUUUCUGAAUCUUUUAAUUCAAUGUUGAAGUAGAUAUUAAGUAUAUCACAACACCAAUCCACACUAAAUAGAACUUUUGUUUUUUGUUCUUUUGCUGAAAUGUCUGACAGUAUUUCAAGAAUAAUUUAAUUAUGAACUUUAUAUUAACAAAAGACAAGUGAUUUUUUAUUCCAUUCAGUGUGGAAUAAGAUACUACCUAUAUUUGUUAAGCCCUGUGUAUCAACCAGAAUUUGCAAAGGGAAGUUAUCAACUUCAGAUACUCAUUCUCCAUUUCCCAUAAAUAUGUUAAAAAUACAAAGUCAGCUCCUAAGUUUUUCAUCAAAUAAACUAGCUUAUUAAGAUUAAGUGGCCUGAAACCACCAUCUGUGAGUUCACAUUUAUAUCUAGAAAACCUGUAUAAUCAUGUGUAUUGAGAGUAAGGCUUAGUGUUGGAAGGCCCAACCUUGUAAACAAGCUUUGUUUACACAAGAAGACAAUAGGACUCUUCUUUUGUUUCAGAGUUUACAUGUUCAGAGGCUGAGAUCACUAUUUUUGAAAUGUGAUGAUGGGAAUACAAAGUAAUUACCUUUAUGAAGGUUUUACAAAGAAUCCUGUAAGUAAAGCCCAUGACAGAAAUAUAUAGUGUCUCCAAAGAAACAAUUAUGAUGUAUUGUGUUUGAAUAAUAACUCAGAAUGUUUUAUCAUCAUCUGUUUACAUAAUAAGUCAUAAUAACUUUUCAAAAUAUGGUGCUUGCAUUUUUAUUAUUGUUUUAAGUGUACAUAGGGGAAUUACUACAGCCUAGAAUCAUAAACUUUGUAAAACUUUGUUGAAGACUGCAUUUUUAUUCCCAUCCUCUUCUGCUCAAACAAAAAUGUAAAGGAAACAACACACAAAUAAAAGUACGCUAAAAUAAUCCCAUGUGUCUGGCUAAAAGAAAAGACAGGAAAUUCUUAAAAGUGUGGUUAUAAACUGAAAAAUGCCUUUAAACAUGGCUUCCUACUGUCUCACAUUUAUAUAUUCAUAAUUAUUUCACUAUCAAUAUUUUCUUUGCUUAUAUGUACACAAAUUACAUUAUUCAACAUGCCAAGACCACAUUCUCAGUCUGAUAUCUGGAAUACAAAGCCCUGUUGUCACUGGCUUCUACUACAGUGUUAAAGAUGGAACUGAGAGAAAUUCCUAGAUUCCCUCUCCUGGAAACUUUAUGAUUUAAGCCUACUUCUGACCUUUAGCAAUAUUUCCUUGGGGAGACUGAGGUCCAAAUUAAACUUUCAGGAAUUACAAGAGAAAUUUCAAUGAACUCUAGAGAUGCCAGAAAGACAAAUGACAAAAGUAGUUAAAGCAAAAGUGCUGAGCACGUCUUAAGUGCUUCAAUUAGAACUCUUGUUCCCCACAGGAUGUUCCAGAAAGGUGUAGAGGUGCUCACAGACCCUCACAAUGGUUUCAGACAUCUAGCCCACAAAGUAGAAUCCAAAGCCAAGAUUAGAGAGCUGUUACCUACAGAGAACAGAUGAUGUUAUGUGAGAGGACUAACAAAGUAGAAACAUUAUGGAGUUAUCUAGAAUCUAACUCAUAAUUUUGAAAGUCAGAUAAUGCCAACCUAUGUAGUUGAGGCACUCUGUCACAGUGGAAGACUGUGGUUAUUUCCAUCCACUCAGUGUCCACAGACCAUCAAGGUAAUUCAAUUUUUGUUUCAAAGGCUCCGUUUUUUUAAAAAAACAUAACCACUGUUGAAGAUGAGAUGUUAAUAAUGGAACAUAGGAUUAUUCUUAGUUCUACUAUUUACUGAAAAAUAGACAUACAAACUGUGUGGGGCAAAGACAAAGGCCAGAAUCCUGCUUGCUCCAUAAAAAUUGUUUCCUUCCUCAUUUAUCUCCUUGAAUCUUAAUGAGUUUUGCAGUUGUAGUGCACAUCUGUACAGCUAUGUAGACUAGCCUGGGACCCAGUGGGUAAGGUGUGCCUCCUCAGAAAUUAGAGUUUAAAAUACCUGAGGUCAAAGCAGAUGUAAAAAGUUGUCUCCUUCUGAAAGGUUUCCAGUUUUAUUGGCAUAUACUACGUUUGUCUGAGUGCACUUUCCAGGUCUGUGCUAUAAGCUAACACUACCAUUUAUCUUCUGGAUUCCCAGACUGUUUAAGUCAGACAGAGGUACAUGCCCGCUUCACCCUGAGCCCUUCUGCGAAUGGUCAGAAACAGAAUACUGUGUGAUCUCAAAAAGAUUCAGAGCAAACAUGGAAGACAGUUAUGUUUAAAUGACACUCUGGUUGGGCAGGCACUGAACGCAGUAACAGUUUCAACAUAGACACCUUAAACCUUCCAGUAUUCUAUUUUAGGUUUGUUCUUCAUUCUUGCAUCACAGCAGGAGUUGUACCCUUUAUCAGUGUUGAUGUCUUCUUAAAAGAGGGUCUGUGACCGCAUUUGAAGUAUCUCUACUACCAGUUGUGGUGAUUUCACCCUGAUGUGCAGCUAAACUACUACAUCAUUCUCCUGUUACUCCUACUCAAAGGAAGAGGGGGAGAAAAUGAAAUGAAAAAAGGCUCAGGGUUUGAGAUUACCGUCACUGAUCAGUGAUUAUGAGAAUAAAUAAACAUAGUGUGGAAAAAUCUUUGUAUAGUCAUUAAAAUACCCAAGUGUGGCAUUCUAGUAGAGAUUUAAUAAGGAGAAGAAACUGACCCUCAGACUUAGGAAUUCAUUUUCUUUACUUUUCUACAAGGACAGACAUACAUCUCUCUAUCUAAUUUAUAUAUACAUACGUAUAUAUAAAGCAAAGCUUUUAAAGAAUUUUUAUUUAUCAUUGUAAAAUCUCUACUUAGAAUUGGAAAGAGAUAGAAAAAAAAAAAGUAGACUUUGAUUAUCACCUUGAUACAUCUAAGUGUUUACAGUGGGAGCUAAGCUGUAGCAUAGCAAUGUAAUAAAAAUAGAAAGUAAAGUGACGUAAAAAGUGCACUGAGGACUACCUUAUAACUAAUUCCAAACGUUCAAGAAUAGUAAAUGGUUAACAGUGAUGCAAAAGGAAAUUACAGAAAAAACAAUCAAAAAGGACUCCUAAACAAUGAAAGGAAACAAAAAAUUAAUAAAGCAGAAGACUGAAAAACAGAUAAGGAGAGCAAAACGGUGAAAGAUUUCACAGAAGAUUAUGAAAUUAGCACAAAAAAUUUUUAAACAAUCCUAAGAAUAAACUGUCAUUGAAGAACAGAAUAGGGAUUGUGGAGGAUCAUUUUUUAAGGGAUGAGGUAAAAAAAGAUGGAAAAUUUAAACAAAUUCUUCGCAUAGCUGUUCAGAAAGAAAUGUCAGCUCGCAGAGCUGUAGAAAUAUAGGUACAUAUUUUCUGGAGCAAAAGGAAGGAUAAAACACCUAAGUAAACACACACUGUAUGUGACAUAGUACAGAUGACAAUCUUAGCAUGUAUCACAUAAAAUAAUUUCUCAGUGCUAAAGCAUAUGCACUUCAGAAUUCACAGAAAGGGACAAAAAACAGCAUCACUCUUCACAAGACUAAUUUACAUCACUUCACCAUUCAGAUAACUUUUCCUUUUCAAAAUGUUGCUUUGAAGUCACAUGGGCUACUUACAUGACUGACAACUCUAGGACUGCAGUGAAAAAGAAGUUUCAGUGGAAUUAAAGAAAAAGUAACGGGAAGUGUGCAGGAGGUAUCUGUGCAAAGAAGGGCCCCAUGCAACUCCUCUCACAGCUUGCCUCUAAAAACUCAAGAACUGGGUUUAAAUGAGAGAAACACCUUGUCUUUCUGGCAAGUUUUAGCAAUGCCUUCUAUGCAGGAAAGCAAUUUGCUUCAAGACCAAACAGAAAUGCACACUGGUUAAGAGUGAUAUAUUACAAAAACAACAGAGUAUAGCUAAAUUCAGCAAAUUAUGAAGCAAUGGCUAUUUCAGUGAGAGUCAGAGAUUCGUCUAAUGAGAUCCAGGAGUUUCAGCUCUGAACAAAAAGUGAUGAAUUCAAGCUUAAAUUCCUACAAGUAACCCCUAUUCUACAUUAAAGGUAACCAUCCAUCACAUUUUUAACUACAUCUACAAGGGAGUUCAGUAACUUCAGUCUAAAAAAUUCAAAACACAGACAUAUUUUCAGCCAAAACAAAGCCAGAGCCAGCAGUAAUUUUAAUUCUUUUCACUAAGUAUUGUUCUGGCCAUAAGACUAUGUGUAAAAUGGAUGUGGUUGAAGCCACAAUGGACUGUAAGGUUUAUAGGAUGAACAAGUUGCUAAGGAAGAGCUUGCAUGCCUAAAAACUUACAUUAUUCCAGCUGGAGUGCAUCCUGUAACAACAGUACUUCUUUAUUCUUCCAUAUCUUCCCUAAAAAGCUGAGCGCUCUGGCUGAAGACAGGCCAGGAGAGGCGCAUGGAUGUUUGCCUUCUUCAUGUUGCCUGAAAACCUAGUCCUUGUCUCAUCUGGGAACAGGACAGUCAUGCCAAGUGGAUGCAUCUCCCUGCAUCUGUGGAGAGACAGCAAAUGUGCUGUCUGGAAAGUAUCUGUGUUCUAGGAGGUGAGAAACUGGCUUGGGCUGUUUGAUUUCACUUCUACUCAGAGAAAUGGGGCAAUGAACUUUCUAAUAAACAGGUUUGGUUCACAGAGGGAUGACUCCACCAUCGAUCAUUCCACCAGAGGAAUAACUCAAGAUUCGAAAAUUUUAACCAGAUAAUUUUAUCAAAAGAAUAAUAAAAAAAAAAAAAAAAAAAAAAAAAAAAAAAGGACCAAGUAAUGACUUAAAACAAUUGCUGUGAUAUUACAUCUACAUAGGAUCUACUGGCCUAUAUGUCAGUUUUAAUCUGCCACUGGUUAAAUCCUACAUACUGAGCAAAAUAACUUACCAACACAAUACAUGCAAAGUAAAUAAAUACUCAAGCAACACUCUAUGUCCCACAUCCACUCAGAUACCAGAAGUGUGUAUUUCCAGUCUGUGAAAUACAAUGAUAAGUAAAAACAGUGAUUCUCCAUGAGUGCAUUACUCAGAAGAAGCAAUGUUAAGGCAGUCAGUGUGAUCUUUAAAAAUCACUCCCAGUAAAUAAAUAAAUAAGCACCUCUACCUGCACAGCUAUCUGAAGACAAGUUAACAAAUUCUGUUUUCCACUUAUUAGCAAAUCAGUUGUUCUGUAAAGAAUACAUGAUCAAAACCUACAGCAACAGCUGGCACAUGUAUAAAGCGGGGCAAAAAAAUUAAGAUGAAGUAUUUCUGACAAAAAAAUAUAUGAAACAAAACAAAGUUGAAAACUGAAGCAGAUAUCAGAUAACCAUUUUGUCAUUUAUAAAAUACUUUUUCAGGACAAAAGGGGUUGCCAUACCUUUUCACUCAGCAUAUCCUCAGAGUCACAUAUUAAGCUGAUCAAAUCCGAGGGUACUGCAGUAAGCUGAAGCUUGAAGCUGCCUCCACUUCCUUCAUUUCGUUUACAGUUUUGUUUGGGGGUUGUUCUUUUUUUUCUUUUUAGCUUGCAGAAACCUGAGGGAAAAAAUAUUUUGGGGGUUACUAUCGAAAUAGUUUAUUCAGUAGUCAAUUAACUGAAAAAAACAAAUAGUUCUAAACUGAUCUCUUAUAUACCAUGCCCCUUUUUAUAUCAUAGUUAUUGGUUCCAUUCUGUUGUUAUAUUUUACUGAAAACAUUAUGAAUAUAAAUGAGAAUAGUGCACAAAGAGCAGAGGUGAAGAUAUGUCCCAUUAGAAAUCUGCUUUUUUACUUACAUUUACUGAGGUUAUCAAGUACCUCUUUAUGAACUCUUCAUCCCUUUCUAAAAGGUAAAGUUGAAAUUGGGAAAUAUAUUGCAUCAGUUAUUGGGCAUUCUGGGGUUUUCCAUUAUUUUAAAAACCUCCUAUGUGCCUAAUUAUAGCUAAUAAGUACUGUUUAGAAACAUAGCAGAGAACUCAUGAUUUCCUUCUUCACCCAAUGCCCAGAAAAUCCAUGUCCGAGAACAAAAUCUUGAAGGUAUUUGUGAUCAUGACCCAUUCUCAUUAUCUGUAUCCAUUCUAAGAUUUUUAUAUUAUAUGAAUGAAUAUUUUAAAGUGAAAUUAUAGUAUUCAAUGGCAAAUUACAACUACAUGUGACCAAGAGAGGAUUAAACCCAUCAUUUUGCUUAAGAGCUCUGAUGGCUGGAGUAAUUGGAUGAUAGCUGUAGGGCAUCUUUUUGGUCUGUAAUUAGGUCAUUUCUUUCUCAUCCCUUCACUGUGUGUAUAAUUACGAAUUAAUUUGAAAUCCCACUGUGAGUAAAGAAAGUCAGUUUAAUAUAACGGAAGUGCAAAAGCCACAAUAUAUUACUUUUUAAAAACUGCUUAUUUCAAAAUACUCAGUCUGGCCAAAAGUUAUAUCCCUAUGUACUGCAAGGCUUAUAUUUGGUUUCUUUGCUAACUUUGUACAAGUGCUGCUCUGAAAGUAAUGCCUCCUGUUUUAUUAUGUUGGUGUGCAAUGUCAGAGGUGGAUUUUGGUGGUACAUCAGGAGAGGUUGAACCUUCACACCAGUAUUCCACUACAUUUUGUUGCUGUGUGACAGAUGGCAGCAGAGGGUCAGUCUGACAAAAUGGCUUCUGACACGGAAGCAUCUGAGAAGAAAAGAUGUGGAACUGAAUUCCUCCAUGUGGUAAAAAAAUUGCAUCCAUUGACUUUCACUGAUGCUUGCUGAACAUUUAUGGAGAUCAAACAGUGGAUGUGAGCUCAGUGAGGUUGUGGGUAAUGUGUUUCAACAGCAGUGAUAGUGGCAGUGGUUCACCUCCACCGGUGCAAAUUUUUACAAGAACAGCAAGCAGGUUCUCGUUCAUCGUUGGCAAAAAUGCAUAGCUAAUGACAGUGAAUAUGCAGCAAAAUAAAGUUUGUAUUUGAGAAUUUUCUCUAUGAAAUAGUGUUAUUGUGCUCUUUGUAUUUGUUGCAGUUUCUAUGGAAAUAAACAGCAAGUAUUACUUUUGAAUCAAUCUACGUUCCUGGAUGUAUUUUCUCUCUUAAAAUAAAUGAAUUUUCAAAGCACCACACUUUGCUCCAGUAUCUGUCAGUAGGUGUCAACAGCACAAAAAGGUAGUGGAAAGAAAUAAAAAGUAACCAUGAGAGUCUUGACAGACAGUAUUAGCAUCAGAGAACUUAGAGGCCACUCUCAACACAGUCAACCAUUUUAUCCUUUAGUCCUGCCAUUAUUUCCUUCCACUGAAACUACCUUUCUGCUUUUACCCUGAAAGUGUUAAACACUGCACAACCCUAACUAGCAUACCUGCUACUAUGUGCAUCAGGAGCUCACCAUUUCAUCAUCUGGCUGAGAUAUGCUGCUGGCAAGUUCUGCUUCCCUUCCUUUAUCACAACAUUGUGGUCGGAUGCAUCAGACCUCCCUCCCGCCUUAGCAAUGAUACAGGUAAAAACAUGCAUUUCUGACAAAUGGAUAACCCCAAGCAGAUCUGUGGAGACAAUGUUUUGACUUGCUGAACUUCCUGUUUCAUUCUGUUUUCAUCUGUCCCCAGAAACCUUGAAAGGGGUCGGUGAGAGGGUCCCAGGUGUGAUCUGAGCACCAGUGAUGUCAACAGCGAGCCAGGGGCUGUGCAGGGUGUGAAGUUAAAGGGAAGAGCAGAGAAAAGACUGUUGGUGCAGAGAACAAGGGUACUGAGAUUUGACUGUAUUUGUAGCUGUGCUGUAAAAAACUGUAAAACAUCCCAUGCCGUUAGCAUAAGAUUAGAUUUCUGCCAGGAAAAAAAAAAAAAAAAAGAGAGAGAGAGAGAGAACAAAAAGAAAUGGAACUGCUUAGAUAUAAGUUCCAAAGUUCAUUAAGAGGGUUCUUUUCUGCAUAGCUCCAAAGCUAAGAUGUGCUAAGGCAUGUAGAAAAAUAAGGAGGUGUUAAAAACCUACCCAACUUCUUAGCUUUCAAAAAAAGUUCAAAGUCCUAGUCAUCGAUUAUUUACAUGGUGACCUCCAGGCCUAUUUGUGAUGCCAAAAAAAUUGUACUCAGGAAGGAAGGAAGACAUUAUCAAAAAGGAAAGAAUUUCUGUUUAAUCUAAUAAUGCCUUUAUAAAAAUAACCAUUUUCUUUUACAUAUAAUAAAAAAUUCAUUAGAAAAUCUCAACAUAUUUUUAUAUAAAAAUAAUAACUGGCAACAUAGCUAGAAAUAAGAAGCAGAGAAAGAAACUUGGAUGCAUUUCUUGCUUGCAAGAGCAUGAUGAGGAAAUAAGGUAAUCUAGUCUUCCCAUUCUGAACAAAAUAGACAUGAUAACAGAAUAUAUAAAUCAAGACAUUUUUGGAGAAAUAAUGUCACUCCAUAAUUUUUGAAAGUAGAAAUAAUUUAAAAUUCAUGCAUGAAACUAAAUAGGUAAAAUAUGUCAUUUUGAAAUAACAUAACAGUAAAAAUAAUUUGUAAAACUUUUUUUGUUUUUUAACUGAGUCUCAUUUUAUACUUGGAAAAUUUUCUUUAGAAAAUUUUCAACCUCUUCUAUGUAGCUCCUGGGUAAAUAUGGAGGUUUUAUGGAAACCAAACAAAUGAAUUAAAUGACUACAAGAAUUAUUGGCUCUAAAUAUAUACAUUUUCUUCUGAUGCUACUAGAAUGUUACUAGUAUAUACUGUAUGAAUUAUAAAAAAUGUUAUGACAGAUAUGGAAGUAAUAUACUUCGGUGAUAAAUCUUCAAUAGAAAGAAUUUAUUAGAGUCAUAUAGAUCUACU